GACGAACGCUGGCGGCGUGCUUAACACAUGCCAGUCGAACGGAAAGGCCCUGCUUUUGUGGGGUGCUCGAGUGGCGAACGGGUGAGUAACACGUGAGUAACCUGCCCUUGACUUUGGGAUAACUUCAGGAAACUGGGGCUAAUACCGGAUAGGAGCUCCAGCUGCAUGGUGGGGGUUGGAAAGUUUCGGCGGUUGGGGAUGGACUCGCGGCUUAUCAGCUUGUUGGUGGGGUAGUGGCUUACCAAGGCUUUGACGGGUAGCCGGCCUGAGAGGGUGACCGGCCACAUUGGGACUGAGAUACGGACCAGACUCCUACGGGAGGCAGCAGUGGGGAAUAUUGCACAAUGGGCGGAAGCCUGAUGCAGCGACGCCGCGUGCGGGAUGACGGCCUUCGGGUUGUAAACCGCUUUCGCCUGUGACGAAGCGUGAGUGACGGUAAUGGGUAAAGAAGCACCGGCUAACUAC
RNAcentral lists this ribosomal RNA (465 nucleotides) under uncultured bacterium. RNAcentral's name for it is "partial 16S ribosomal RNA". It matches the Rfam family "Bacterial small subunit ribosomal RNA", at positions 28 to 504 of the family's 1533-position model. The record is from RNAcentral.